This 112-nucleotide small nucleolar RNA is filed under the name Meriones unguiculatus (Mongolian gerbil). RNAcentral describes it as "Small nucleolar RNA SNORA17 (ENSMUGG00000022928.1)". It matches the Rfam family "Small nucleolar RNA SNORA17". Rfam says of the family: snoRNA ACA 17 belongs to the H/ACA family of snoRNAs and is predicted to guide pseudouridylation of the 28S rRNA at positions U4659 and U4598. Lineage: Eukaryota; Metazoa; Chordata; Mammalia; Rodentia; Muridae. The record is from RNAcentral.
UCUGCCCCUAGAGGUGUUUCGGGUGUGACAAGGGUGUCAGUAGGUGGCAGGGAGGAGAGAGGAUACACGCCAUGUUCUGACUCGGGAAUGUCUGAAAUGUUUCCCUGAAAAU